This 783-nucleotide ribosomal RNA is filed under the name Bacteroidetes bacterium SCGC AAA166-P21. Its description in RNAcentral is "bacterial SSU rRNA". It matches the Rfam family "Bacterial small subunit ribosomal RNA", at positions 70 to 856 of the family's 1533-position model. Lineage: Bacteria; Pseudomonadati; Bacteroidota. The record is from RNAcentral.
CAGGAGUAGCUUGCUAUUUGCUGACGACCGGCGCACGGGUGCGUAACGCGUAUAGAAUCUACCUUGUACUAGGGGAUAGCCUUUGGAAACGAAGAUUAAUACCCUAUAGUAAGUAUUUAUGGCAUCAUUUAUACUUUAAAGGUUACGGUACAAGAUGACUAUGCGUCCUAUUAGUUUGUUGGUGAGGUAACGGCUCACCAAGACUUCGAUAGGUAGGGGCCCUGAGAGGGGGAUCCCCCACACUGGUACUGAGACACGGACCAGACUCCUACGGGAGGCAGCAGUGAGGAAUAUUGGACAAUGGAGGCAACUCUGAUCCAGCCAUGCCGCGUGCAGGAUGACGGCCCUAUGGGUUGUAAACUGCUUUUAUGUAGGAAGAAACACUCUCACGUGUGAGAGCUUGACGGUACUACAAGAAUAAGGACCGGCUAACUCCGUGCCAGCAGCCGCGGUAAUACGGAGGGUCCAAGCGUUAUCCGGAAUCAUUGGGUUUAAAGGGUCCGUAGGCGGGCUAUUAAGUCAGAGGUGAAAGUUUGCAGCUCAACUGUAAAAUUGCCUUUGAAACUGGUAGUCUUGAAUUAUUAUGAAGUGGUUAGAAUAAGUAGUGUAGCGGUGAAAUGCAUAGAUAUUACUUAGAAUACCAAUUGCGAAGGCAGAUCACUAAUAAUAUAUUGACGCUGAGGGACGAAAGCGUGGGGAGCGAACAGGAUUAGAUACCCUGGUAGUCCACGCCGUAAACGAUGGAUACUAGCUGUUCGGAUUUAUCUGAGUGGCUAAGCGAAA